This 510-nucleotide ribosomal RNA is filed under the name uncultured bacterium. RNAcentral's name for it is "bacterial SSU rRNA". It matches the Rfam family "Bacterial small subunit ribosomal RNA", at positions 15 to 518 of the family's 1533-position model. The record is from RNAcentral.
GAUUCUGGCUCAGGAUGAACGCUAGCGACAGGCUUAACACAUGCAAGUCGAGGGGCAGCACGGGAGUAGCAAUACGUUGGUGGCGACCGGCGCACGGGUGAGUAACGCGUAUGCAACCUACCUAUCAGAGGGGAAUAACCCGGCGAAAGUCGGACUAAUACCGCAUAAACAGGGGCACCGCAUGGUGAUAUUUGUUAAAGAAAUUCGCUGAUAGAUGGGCAUGCGUUCCAUUAGGUAGUUGGUGAGGUAACGGCUCACCAAGCCGACGAUGGAUAGGGGAACUGAGAGGUUGGUCCCCCACACUGGUACUGAGACACGGACCAGACUCCUACGGGAGGCAGCAGUGAGGAAUAUUGGUCAAUGGGCGGGAGCCUGAACCAGCCAAGUCGCGUGAAGGAAGAAGGAUCUAUGGUUCGUAAACUUCUUUUGCAGGGGAAUAAAGUGCAGGACGUGUCCUGUUUUGUAUGUACCCUGAGAAUAAGGAUCGGCUAACUCCGUGCCAGCCGCUGC